RNAcentral lists this long non-coding RNA (227 nucleotides) under Monodelphis domestica (gray short-tailed opossum). RNAcentral describes it as "lncRNA (ENSMODG00000038866.1)". The record is from RNAcentral. Lineage: Eukaryota; Metazoa; Chordata; Mammalia; Didelphimorphia; Didelphidae.
CUUGGAUCUUCAACCUAGAAGCACCAAAGAAGCAAAGUUCUAAACUGCCAAUUCCAGGAAAAGAAGGUUUUGCCCUCUGGAGCCAAGCAGAAGGAGGUUGAGGCUGACCCCUGGUCCAUAUGCCAUCAUCAUCAAAGUCUGAACUGAACUCUUCAGAUGCUUCUGGGGACAAUCCCUAAGUGAUUCUCUGGUAAAGUGAAGUCCAGUUCAGCACCAGGAAGGAGAUU